RNAcentral lists this ribosomal RNA (368 nucleotides) under Bacteroidetes bacterium oral taxon 272. RNAcentral's name for it is "bacterial SSU rRNA". It matches the Rfam family "Bacterial small subunit ribosomal RNA", at positions 65 to 423 of the family's 1533-position model. The record is from RNAcentral. Lineage: Bacteria; Pseudomonadati; Bacteroidota.
UGGGGCAUCAUGAUGUAGUAAUACAUUGAUGGCGACCGGCGCACGGGUGAGUAACGCGUAUCCAACCUACCCUCCACUCAAGUAUAGGCUUCCGAAAGGGAGAUUAAUCCUUGAUAUCGUCAUUCUCUCUCCUGUUAGAAUGAUAAAAGGACAUCGUUUCGGUAGAGGAUGGGGAUGCGUUCCAUUAGGUAGUAGGCGGUUUAACAGGCCACCUAGCCGAUGAUGGAUAGGGGUUCUGAGAGGAAUAUCCCCCACACUGGUACUGAGAUACGGACCAGACUCCUACGGGAGGCAGCAGUGAGGAAUAUUGGUCAAUGGGCGCAAGCCUGAACCAGCCAUGUAGCGUGAAGGAUGACGGUUUUUUUAAU